AGAAAAAGCUCUGAAACUACAUCACAUGGAGGAAAUGGUGAUUGUGAAAAAAAGCAUGACCGUUGUAAAAAGCAUGACUGUUAAAAAAGUAUGACCGUUUAAAAAAACAACAUGUUUUCUACCUCUUAUAAAUGGUGACUUGCAGCCAGGAAGAGGCAGAAUAGAUGAAGAGGGAAAGCAAGAGGCAGAGGCAGAGCAAUGGCAAUUUAUGCAGAGUAUUUGGCAGCAAGCGUGGCAAUUCCUGAAUUGCCCGUCUUGUGGUUAUUGUCAGGAGGUUGGUUAUGGUUACCGUCUUGUUUCUAUCAGUAAAGGGCCUAAUGGGAGUUGAUUGGUAGGUUAAAACUCAUACGAAAUACUGAUACAUACGGUCCUGAUAUUUCUAGACGUCGACUUUAAAUCAAGUAGGAUUUGUGUUUUGUUCCUUAUACAUCGGUUCUUUUGUUUUUCACUUCAAAUGUGUUUUGGGUUUCAUCCUUAUGCUAUGAAAAUGAUCGUUUCAUCUGAUUUCUGAUUGUUUGGUGUUUGGGUGUUCUGAUAUUUGGCUUUUCAUGUGUCUGGUAUGCUGAACUUUUUGUUGAGAAUUUGAUUGAUUGUUUCGAAAUCUAUUGGACACUGUGGGUUAGGGAUGUUCUGUUAUGCAUUGGAUUUAUACAAGGUUUUUUUAUCCCUAUUUGAAAAUUAGUAGAAAUGUAUUUUGAUUUGUUGUGGAUAGGAAUCCGGAUGCAGGUGUAUUACUGGUAUAGUUAGUUAGAUACAUAUACCAUUUUGGGUUGAGGAUUUUAUUGAAUUGGGUAUGGCGGGUUAUGCCCUGAUUUAUUUUUACAGUGACUUUGAUUUGGGUGGUUUUGAUGUUUUGGAUCUAUUGGAAUGAUCUAGUUGCAAAUAUAUAAAAGUAUGGAUGGUGGUAUCUUUCUUUUAGUUAUGCUAGUUAAGACCAACAUGAUGAGAGAUGGUUCUAGGCGGAGUUAUAGAUGUGUUUAGGAUGCACUUUAUAAUCAGUAGCAAAUUUUCGUUAUUACCAUUUGAUCAAUAUGUUGAAGAAUCCCCUCUUCGAACACACUUAAAUUGCACUUAAAUUGUAUCUAGCCUUGAGUCUUAUCUGCUUCUUAUCUGAAAUCUUUCUUUCUUUUAUCCUUUAGAGUUGAGCAAAGGACUGAUGAACUGAGGGUCAGAUUUUGACACUAAAAGAAUACUUGAACUCCAAUAUACAGACCAUUAUAAUCCUACAUAAACUGUCAUUUUGUUAAUUUUCCUUUUAAAUCUCUUGUGCAACGAUCGAGACAUUUUGUCAAACAAUUCAUAUGCCUUGUCUGUCACGUGUUAUGGUAUAUAUGUUGCACAUCAUUUAUGAGUGCAAAUCAAAGAUUGGGAGUAGCUUUUCUCAAAUGCUAUGGCACCUUUCUAUUUGGCCAAUCCACGUUAUUUCUAUGUGUAUGAUUCCUAACUUGAAAAUUAUUUAACAUUUUUUCUUUCCUGUAUUUUAGAAUUAUUUUAAACAUUUUUUAUUUCUCGUAAUUGAGAAUUAUUUUAUACACUUUUUCUUUCCUGCGAUGGACUAAUGGUAGAUUAUAUAUACGAGCAGCAGUAGAGAAUCAUUGUAAACGGCAUCUAAACUGCGGAAAUCUUGCCUAAUUGUAUUUAAUCUAUUUAAUAUCAUAGAUACUAUUGGGUUUCAUGAGGACUUAGAGACAUUGUAUACCAUAUCUGUGUUGGUCAUAUCCUCUUAGUUUUAACUUAUUUUCGUUACUGCCUGUGUAUUUUUCUAUUCCUUGGCACUGUUUGUGUAUAUGGGGAGCUGUAACUUAUUCAAUCUCAUAGUACUAUUGGGUUUCGUGAGGACUUAUACAUUUGUAUACCAUAUCUGUGUUGGUUAUAUCCUCUUAGUUUUAAGUUUUAACUUCUAUUCGUUACCGCCUCAGUGUAUUUUUCUAUUUACUUGGUAUUGUCUGUGGACUGUGUAUAUGUCAUAUGGGGAAGUGGUUCUGAUCAAGAUCUAAUCAAUUUUGAGGCACUUCCUACCUUUUCCAAUGAAAUGGUGGGACUAAUUCAUUCCCUAUUGCCUUGGUUGAGGUAAGUUUUUUGAAUGCAUUUAUUCAUCUCCUCUGUUUCUUGAAGUUUUGAAAGUAGCCACUUUGCAGGAUUUAGUGGUGUUUUCUGUCACAUCCCCCUCAGUUGCCUCGAGGGUGGAUGUUGGAGAAAUAAAUUUUAUCUAGAGAAUUGCCAACUUAAUGAGGGAUGGGCUAACAUAUGGGCUAGCUAUGGGCAUUAAAUUGGAGACUACGGGAGGAAUGGCACAAGCCAGAGAGUAAGGAAAACUUUCUAUUAUGGAGGAUGGCAUCCCAAUUCCAUGAGGACGGUAGGUAGAUAGCAGCAUGCGUGGGAAAAGGCGCAGGGGCAGUAGAAAUUCAGAGCCAAAUUCCAAAAAUUGUUUCACACGUUAUUAAUGCAUGUGCCUUGAAAAGGACAGAAAAGAAUUGAGAAGGGAGAAUAGGUGAAGGACACUCUACCAGACUUUAAAAGGAGAAAAAAAUUGAGAACAAGCGAGGGUUAUGAGAUGAUUGGAGGCGACCAUGGUUUAGUGGAGUUGUAGAGGCAGGUAGAGAAGAAAAAUAGACAAAUGCAUGGGUAGAAGGGAUUGAACGAGUUUUGAUAAGGGUUUUAAAUCAGCAUAAGGCAUAGAGGAGUUUUGUUAGAUGGUAUGGCUGCAAGUUGCAACUACUAUGCAGAGAAAUAUAAACUCUUGGGCCACCACUAUUGAAAAAUACAUACAGUGGAUCUGUUGGGCUACAGAAACUUUCAAGAAAAUGCAACCGGAUGUUGCCAUGUGUCUAUGUAUAUGUUCUUUGGUCUCUAUUCUCUUUCAAGGAUUUUAAGCAUUUCUGAUCAGAGGAUAGAUGAGGCCAGCGCUUCAUAUCAGGCAGUGGAUCACAUGUCACUUCCCACAAGCCCUGUAACACAAAAAACAGUCAUUGAACCCUAAACUGGGAAAAAUUAGUAUUGUCUUCGCCUGUCAUAUUUUGGCAGGUUUGCAACUAAUAUUUGGUUCAUUGGUGUAGUGGAUGUUAAAAUUCUUCUAUUCUAUUCAUUUUCUUAUAUUGAAUUUGGAGGUUUUCGUUUAUUUUUUUAAAAAUCAAAAUGAACACGUGGUUUUAUGAAUGCACAGUUUGCUGAGAUUCAAUUUUCCAAACUUGUUUGGAUGUGGGCGGUUUAUUUUCAUGAGCGGAAUUCAUGAGCGGAAUUUAUGUUCUUUGUAUUGGCCACCGUGGCCUCUGGAUUUGGGCACCGCGAAUGUGCAGUAUCACAGUGCCCAUAUAAAUUCUCUGCUGCUUACAGAAAGAAUGAGAUUAUCAUAGAAAAUGAAAGGGUUCUUCUUGAUAGGGGAAGCUGCAUUGCAUUCUGAAUACAUGGGUCGACUCAAGAAUUCAUCAAGCACAUUUAUGGAUAAGCUUGUAGACUCCUAUCUUUUCUCUUGUUCUUCUUUCUUUAUCUUACAUCCUACAAAGGAAAAUUGGGUCAACUUUAUUAAUUUUAGCAGAAGGUUAAUGGGCAGUUUAUUGAGUUUCUGCCAAGAUAUCGGUGAACGAGGUCUACUGCAUGGGAGACUCAGGGAUUUUUGCAAAUGCUUCAAAUCAAACCAGAGUGCAGAGCCCGUCAAUAUUUCAUGCCCUAUAGACUCCGGUAUGAGUAAGAUUGCCAAUGUGGAUACUGAUCAAGCAUGUAAAGAUGAAACCAAUCAGAGAAUUCAGGGGAAUUCAUCUACUGUACAAAUCUAUCCCAUUCAAGAUCUUGCGUACCAAUUUUACCAUUGAUGUAAAAAAUUAUGUUCAUUCAGAGCCUCGUAAUCAAAUUGUUGCAGAAGAUGAGGAGAAUUCAACAUUUUGUGAGAAGAAUGUAUCACAAGGCUCACAUUGCUCAUUUCCGAAAGUGAGUAAAGCCAAGCGAGUUCAUUUCAAUCCUGAGUUAUUGGUGUUUCCUAUUAGAGAAGAGACCUUCAAUACCACCUCCCAAUGCCUUACUGCUAAGUUAGGUCUGGAUCAUAAAUCCCUAGGAAUUAAAUGCAAAUGUGUUACAGUUGUAGCUACUGUACUGGCAAUUCUGUUGAUUUUAGUCACCGGUGGAAAUAUCUACUUGGGGUGGCGUAAGGUCCAAGAAAUGGAGAUGACAAAGGCAACGGAUUGAACAGAGUGCGACUCCCCCAACGUUUGGAAACCUUGUCCAAUAUGUGGAUGCUACAUAUUCCAAGGAGGUACACUUUUCAUCUAAUCAUUUCAUUAACUCUUCCAAACCAUGGUUUUGUUAUUUUUCAGCAUUUUUUUGAUGUUAUUAGGACACUUGAUGUGAUUUAUUUGGAUAAUUUUGUUUAAGUUUGAAUUCAGCAUACUCCAGCUGCUGUGAGAAUAUCUGUGUGAAUUCGGAAUAGAAGUCUUUCGCCAUUACCGGCAAAGCCACCUUUUCAAUCUCCAAGUUCAACUUCUCAUGAUGUCUCUAUUAGGAGAUCAUAUAACAUCUAUUUCUGAA
Molecule: long non-coding RNA, 4518 nt
Organism: Cryptomeria japonica (Japanese cedar)
Lineage: Eukaryota; Viridiplantae; Streptophyta; Pinopsida; Cupressales; Cupressaceae
Exons: 2
Source: RefSeq, a predicted model, not a curated record